Clostridium sp. is the source of this 95-nucleotide non-coding RNA. The record is from Rfam. Lineage: Bacteria; Bacillati; Bacillota; Clostridia; Eubacteriales; Clostridiaceae.
AAAGCUGAAGAAGAAGUCAAUAUAGAGGAAGAGAGAAGACUUUUUUAUGUAGGUAUUACAAGGGCAAAAGAAAAUUUGUAUUUAACUGUCCCAAA